AGUCACUGACAUUAGAUACCCGUGUAGUCCAGGGUGUAAACGCUGCAGACUUGGUGGUUGGGGCCCGUUUGGGGGCAUUCAGUGCCGGAGAGAAGUUGUUAAGUCUGCUACGUUGGGAGUACGUCCGCAAGGAUGAAACUUAAAGGAAUUGGCGGGGGAGCACCGCAACGGGAGGAGCGUGCGGUUUAAUUGGAUUCAACACCGUAAAACUCACCAGGGAAGACUGUUACAUGAAGGCCGAGAUGAAGACUCUGCUAGAUUUUCAG
This 266-nucleotide ribosomal RNA is filed under the name uncultured archaeon. RNAcentral's name for it is "partial 16S ribosomal RNA". It matches the Rfam family "Archaeal small subunit ribosomal RNA", at positions 717 to 982 of the family's 1478-position model. The record is from RNAcentral.